AGAGUUUGAUCAUGGCUCAGGAUGAACGCUAGCUACAGGCUUAACACAUGCAAGUCGGAGGGGAAACGACAUACGAAAGCUUGUCUUUUGAGUGGGCGUCGACCGGCGCACGGGUGAGUAACGCGUAUCCAACCUCGCCCACCACUUGGGGAUAACCUUGCGAAAGUAAGACUAAUACCCAAUGACGUCUCUAGAAGACAUCUGAAAGAGAUUAAAGAUUUAUCGGUGAUGGAUGGGGAUGCGUCUGAUUAGCUUGUUGGCGGGGUAACGGCCACCAAGGCGACGAUCAGUAGGGGUUCUGAGAGGAAGGUCCCCCANAUUGGAACUGAGACACGGUCCAAACUCCUACGGGAGGCA
This 357-nucleotide ribosomal RNA is filed under the name uncultured bacterium. RNAcentral's name for it is "bacterial SSU rRNA". It matches the Rfam family "Bacterial small subunit ribosomal RNA", at positions 8 to 350 of the family's 1533-position model. The record is from RNAcentral.